This 468-nucleotide ribosomal RNA is filed under the name uncultured bacterium. Its description in RNAcentral is "partial 16S ribosomal RNA". It matches the Rfam family "Bacterial small subunit ribosomal RNA", at positions 28 to 507 of the family's 1533-position model. The record is from RNAcentral.
GACGAACGCUGGCGGCGUGCUUAACACAUGCAAGUCGAACGGAAAGGCCCUGCUUUUGUGGGGUGCUCGAGUGGCGAACGGGUGAGUAACACGUGAGUAACCUGCCCUUGACUUUGGGAUAACUUCAGGAAACUGGGGCUAAUACCGGAUAGGAGCUCCUGCUGCAUGGUGGGGGUUGGAAAGUUUCGGCGGUUGGGGAUGGACUCGCGGCUUAUCAGCUUGUUGGUGGGGUAGUGGCUUACCAAGGCUUUGACGGGUAGCCGGCCUGAGAGGGUGACCGGCCACAGUGGGACUGAGAUACGGCCCAGACUCCUACGGGAGGCAGCAGUGGGGAAUAUUGCACAAUGGGCGGAAGCCUGAUGCAGCAACGCCGCGUGCGGGAUGACGGCCUUCGGGUUGUAAACCUCUUUCGCCUGUGACGAAGCGUGAGUGACGGUAAUGGGUAAAGAAGCACCGGCUAACUACGUG